RNAcentral lists this ribosomal RNA (462 nucleotides) under uncultured bacterium. RNAcentral describes it as "SSU rRNA". It matches the Rfam family "Bacterial small subunit ribosomal RNA", at positions 26 to 518 of the family's 1533-position model. The record is from RNAcentral.
AGGAUUAACGCUGGCGGCGUGCCUAACACAUGCAAGUCGAACGAGGUAGCAAUACCUAGUGGCAGACGGGUGAGUAGCGCGUGGUCAACCUACCGUUGAGUGGGGGAUAACUAGCCGAAAGGUUAGCUAAUACCGCAUACGUCUCCGAGGGGCAUCCCUUGGCGAUAAAAGGAGCAAUCCGCUCGAUGACGGGACCGCGUCCCAUUAGCUAGUUGGUGGGGUAACGGCCUACCAAGGCGUCGAUGGGUAGCUGGUUUGAGAGAGCGACCAGCCACACUGGGACUGAGAUACGGCCCAGACUCCUACGGGAGGCAGCAGUGAGGAAUUUUCCGCAAUGGGCGAAAGCCUGACGGAGCGACGCCGCGUGUGGGAAGAAGGCCUUCGGGUCGUAAACCACUGUCGAAGGGGAAGAUAAUGACGGUACCCUUGGAGGAAGCCCGGCUAACUACGCGCCAGCGCCGC